AAAGUGAGUGCAAAUUGUUUCCUCAAUUUUAUUGAGUAGAUUCUAUAGGUUGUUUUUUACAGUGUUCUCCACUUUCCAAUUGAAUAUAAGAAGUCUUCCUUGUAACUAUGACAAAUUUAUUCAUUAUUUAUCUUUACUUAAACAUAAUUUCUCUGUUAUUGUUUUAUCUGAAACAUGGCUUACAGAAGACUCUAGAGAAAUAUUUAAAUUACCAAAUUACAAUUCAGUUCAUUAUGUGAGAGAAAAUAGAUCGGGAGGUGGAGUAUCUUUAUUUUUUUUAGACAACUAUGAAUUUAAAGUUAGGGAUGAUUUAUCACUGAAUUCAGUAGAAUCUGUUUUUGUGGAGCUCUCUGGUGUUUUUGGUGGAAAAAACGUUCAUAGUUGGUGUCAUAUAUCGUUCACCAGAUUCUGUUGUCAAAGAUUUUAAUGAAUGUCUAUCCAGUUCUCUUGAUCUGAUUAACAAGGAGGAUAAACUUUGUUAUAUCUUAGGUGAUUUUAAUAUAAAUCUUUUAAAAAAUAAUCCAGAUACAUUUACUGCAGAUUUUCUAAAAAUACUUUAUUCUAGUUAUUGUUUCCCUCUUAUUCAUAAACCUACUCGAGUAAAGGAGAAUUCAGCAACUUUGAUUGAUAACAUCUUAACAAAUAAUUUGAGUGAAGGAAUGAAAUCUGGAGUCCUGUAUGUGGAUUUGUCUGAUCAUUUCCCUAUAUUCCAAUUUUCGUUAAUCAAGUUUAAUACAACCAAACAAAAAAAGAAAAAGAUGCUUAAAAGAAGUAUGAGCAAGCUAAAUGUUUUUAAAUUUAAAGAUAUGCUUGCAAGUACUUCAUGGAAUGAUCUUUACAAAGAAAAAAAUGCUCAUUUUGCAUAUCAACACUUUAUGAAAAUUAUAAGCGGUAGUUUCAAUGAAUGUUUUCCACUUACUAGCUCUACUAGGAAAUAUAGUCAGGCCUUUAGUAAGCCUUGGUUUACAGUUGACUUGUUGAAGCUCCUGAGGAAAAAGUUGUACAAAAAUUGUACAAAAAAUAUAUUUCAAAUCCUACACCCCUUACCCGUGGUGCUUAUACAUCUUGUAGAAAUAAAUAUACUUAUUACAUUAGAUCGUCAAAAAAGAAAUAUUUCUGUGAGAAAUUUAAGGUGUUCAAAUGAUACUAAAACCACAUGGAAAGUUAUAAAUCAGUUGCUGCAUAGAGAUAAGUCUCAUUCAGAAUUACCUUCAGUUUUUUAUGAAGGUGAUAAUUCUUUUAAUAAUUCAUUUGAUAUAGCUCAAAUAUUUAAUAAUUUUUUUGUUAACAUUGGACAUGAAUUAGCCAGUAAAAUUCCUGUUUGUAAUGGUAAUCCACUAGAUUAUAUUAUAAGGAAUUAUCUUUCUAUUUCUUUUUUUCAGCCUCCUGAUGUUCAAGAAAUAAGUGAUAUUAUUGAUGAAAUGAAAACAUCUUCAACUGGCCAUGAUAACAUUUCUUCAUUCCUUGUCAAACAGAUCAAGCAGUUUAUUUUGCAGCCACUGGUUUUCAUUUUUUCACUUUCUCUGAAAACAGGAGUUGUACCAGAGGAUUUAAAGGUCGCUAAAGUUAUUCCUCUGUUUAAAGCAGAUGACCCUUGUUGCUUCAGUAAUUAUAGACCCAUAUCCAUAUUGCCUUGUUUUUCAAAAAUAUUAGAAAAAGUUAUAUAUAAAAGGAUCUUAUUCCAUCUUGAUUCUAAUUUAAUUCUUUAUAAACAUCAGUAUGGCUUCAGGAAAAGUCAUUCCACAUCUAUGGCCUUGCUUUAUUUGAUUGACAAAGUUUCCUUUGCAUUAGAAAAUAAUGAAUUUACCUGUAGUAUAUUCGUCGACUUCUCAAAAGCUUUUGAUACAGUCAACCAUCAUAUUCUAUUGAAAAAAUUGCAAAAAUAUGGUUUUCAUGAUGUUACGCUUGAAUGGUUAAAAAACUAUAUUUUAAACAGACAACAGUUUGUUU
This is a long non-coding RNA of Cyprinus carpio (common carp), 1950 nucleotides long. The record is from Ensembl. Lineage: Eukaryota; Metazoa; Chordata; Actinopteri; Cypriniformes; Cyprinidae.